GAUGAACGCUGGCGGCGUGCCUAAUACAUGCAAGUCGAGCGAACGGACGAGAAGCUUGCUUUUCUGAUGUUAGCGGCGGACGGGUGAGUAACACGUGGAUAACCUACCUAUAAGACUGGGAUAACUUCGGGAAACCGGAGCUAAUACCGGAUAAUAUUUUGAACCGCAUGGUUCAAAAGUAAAAGACGGUCUUGCUGUCACUUAUAGAUGGAUCCGCGCUGCAUUAGCUAGUUGGUAAGGUAACGGCUUACCAAGGCAACGAUGCAUAGCCGACCUGAGAGGGUGAUCGGCCACACUGGAACUGAGACACGGUCCCAGCUCCGACGGGAAGGCAGAAUAGGGGAACUUCCGGAAUUGGGGGAAGCCUGGAGGAACAACGCCGCGUGGGUGAAGAAGGUCUUCGGAUCGGUAAACUCUGUUAAUAGGGAAGAACAUAAUUGGUAAUUACUUUGCACAACCUGGCGGUACCUAAUCAGAAAGGCACGGCUAACUUCGGG
Molecule: ribosomal RNA, 497 nt
Filed under: uncultured bacterium
Lineage: Bacteria
Description: partial 16S ribosomal RNA
Rfam family: Bacterial small subunit ribosomal RNA
Source: RNAcentral